RNA transcript from Vigna angularis (adzuki bean), 2719 nucleotides. RefSeq lists it as uncharacterized. The transcript has 9 exons. Lineage: Eukaryota; Viridiplantae; Streptophyta; Magnoliopsida; Fabales; Fabaceae. The record is from RefSeq and is a predicted model, not a curated record.
UCCAAAAACUUGUGAAUGCGACGAAGUUGUGAACUGCUUCUCAAUUUCCCUUAUCAAUUUACUUUUUAUUUUUAUUUCUACAGAGAAAUUUCUUUCGCCCAAACAUCUCGAUUUCAGUUUGGGCAGUUUCGCUUCCAUCAGAACUCGUUCCUAGACUCUUAGUUAAAUGUAAAGCACUGCAAAAAGGUGUUCUUGGCUAGCUCGCUCUGAUUCUCAGGGUUAUGGUUGUCCUGGUCUUUCCAUAACUGAAAAUGCUGCUGCUGUAGCAGAAGUUGCUAGAGUUGAUGCAAGCUGUUCAACUUUCUCUUUGGUUCAUUCUUCCUUGGCAAUGCUCACUAUUGUAAAUUUGUAAAAGGGUCACUGUGUUCGUUUUCAAGGGUUGGAUUGCUGAUUGGAAGUAUGGAGAGGAAGAAAGAUAUAUUGUCAAAAGGGAUGCGGCAGGUUUAACAGUGACAAAAAUGGAGAAUAAAAUUGGACUUCGGAUUGUACAUAAUAGAGACUUAGUUUUGAGCAAAGUCUUUGUCCCUGAUGAUGACAGAAUAUAAAAAGAGUAAAUUCUUUUCGGGACACAAGGUGCCUCUUGGAUAAGAAACAUUUUGGAGUAUCAUUAACAGCUUUCCGAAUCAGUCAGCAGACACCUGUUCACAUGCUAGGAAGCAUUCAAGCAAUGAUUCUUGAUGGUUGGCGUCUGUGCAAGUAGUAUGAUAGUGGUAAAAUGACUCCAGUUCAUGCUAGCUUGGGAAGGUAAUUCCGAACCAUCUCAGCUCACAAAAUAGAAGAAAAUAUCACCAAUCUUGGAUUACCCUGAGGAAAAGAGAAAUAGCUGCCUCGGGGAGAGAAUUGCUUGUGGUGGCAAAGGAAUUUUGGCUGAUUUUCAAGUGGCAAAGGUAUUCUCUGACUUAGAACUUAUGUACACGUUCGAAGGCACAUAUGACAGAAACACCUUGGUCACAGGCAGGGAAGUUAGUGGUUUUGUGAAAAUUGCGUAAAUCAUGGCAACUUGGUGCUCUGGUGUUUCAGGCAACGCCUAAGUACUCCUGGUGUCAAGGACUUCACUUUGCACCGAUCAAUUUGUGAUUCUGAGCUGGUAAGUUCCUUCUCUUUCUAAGAAAACUGGUUUCGGGCAUAUGCAAGCCAAAGUUAUGGUUGCAUGUGUUCAUCAACUUCAUUUUCACAAAUCCUGAUCAUAUUAUGGUCUUUUAAUUGAUCUUUCCUUAUUAUUUGGUGGGUUAUAGGCAUUCUAGAAAGGUAAGGGAAGCUUGUAAAAAAGGUAAGGGAAGCUUGUAAUUUAAUUAUGAUUCUCUGAUUUUGAAUGGUUGCAUGUUUGAAUGAUGUUCGGUUUGGUUAUUUAGUUGAUAUUGAAUAUUGAGUUUGUUGCAUAUUAAUCUGUAUGUGUUGAUGAUUUAUAAAUGGUGUGAACUGGGUAGGAAUAAGGUUUGAUCUUAAGUCUGCAGCGUUCUGCGUAAUUCUGUAAUUGUCGUCGAGAGUCAUUCGUGAUUGUUCAAUUUUUCAUUAGGCAUUCGGUCUGGACUGGAUUCUUCUUCUAUAGAGAAUUUCAGUUAAUGACAGAUUGGUUUCCUAUUAGUAUACUUGAAAAUGUGCGUUUGGUUUAAGUAUAGUUUCCUAUUUCUUCUUAGUAAUCAGCUUAGUUAAGAUACUCGAUAUGACUUAAGUCUUAGAUACUAUACUUAUCCUCAGUUGUAAAUAAGUAUUUGUGGUUGUACGGGAGAAUCUAUUUAUUCAUUUUGUAUAAGUUUAGUAGUGCUUGGUCUUGAACCAAGUGUUCGGUCUCAGUAGAGCUCGGUCUUGAACCAAGCGAUCUCGUCAUAAUACUCAAUUAUGUACUUGUAUUUGAAACUAAGAGUGUUCAGCCUAAGCUCGUAGUGUUCGGUCCUAGCUCUUAGGUUUCGGUUAAAAGCUUUUAGUAUUCAACAAAUUCUGAGUUCUAUCUAGUAAAGAUCGUUCAGUCAUAGCUUUUGAUUAACGAGAAAACAUUUAGUCUCUCAAUAAGUAUUCGGUUUGAUUUAUAGUGUUCAGCCUGGUUAUAACGAUCGGUCAUGUUGGUCACUAAAAAGUACUAUUCUGUUCGGUGUGAUUCAUAGGAAUGAUGAUAUCUCUUUCGGUUUUUGUCAAAGAUUGGGAUCUUAUUUUAUUGUGCGGUUUGACUAUAUUGAAGGCUAAGUAUGAUGGUAUUUAAAGUGUAACAUGAAUUGAGUAAUAUGGAUAUGAAGGAGUAUUCCAAGGAGGAAUAUCUUGUGGUUGGUCAUUGAAUGGUAAAGUAUGAAUGUGGUUAUGCUUAGUUGGCGUUUAUCUUGAUAUUCUGUGAUUACUCAUUCUCAAGUAGAGAAGAGUAACUCAUGUGUGAGAAUGGCAGGAGGGCCUAGUCCAUAAGGUGAACUUGGGCGAGGUAUAAUGGACUAACCUCGGGUGACAGCUGUUGAGGGCAUCCCAGCUACUAUACCAUCCGGGUGCAAAAACGUCGUAGCUACAUAAUUUAUACAGUCCAAACAGUCAGAGAAAAAGUGGUCGAUUAUUGUAUGUAUAUGUUCGGUCUUUACUUGGAUGUAUAUGUAUGAUGAUUGUAUGCUAUAGUUGUGUAUGAAUUAGUUUAUAUUAAUAUGAUUAAUUAAAUUACUCAAGCUUACCUUACUCUCCUGUCUUGUCUUUGUUGUCCGUUUGGUCAUACUUCCUGUUGCAAUGAUCAUCCUGUGGAUGUGAG